This 701-nucleotide long non-coding RNA is filed under the name Nicotiana benthamiana. RNAcentral's name for it is "long non-coding RNA (NBEN_LNC037916)". The record is from RNAcentral. Lineage: Eukaryota; Viridiplantae; Streptophyta; Magnoliopsida; Solanales; Solanaceae.
UUUCUUCUAUUCAAACACUAACCCCUAGUCUCCCUCAAACCCUUCAUCACCUCUGCCGCUUUCCGUCGUUGGAAAUCGCCUCAUGGCCGAUAUCCAAACUAAUACAAAACUACAUCAGAUAAUCCUCACCCUCUUCUCCCCAAAUCUGCCGUUAGUUUUCAUUAAAUCCUCACCCUCUUCAAUUAUUUUCAGAUCUGAAGUUCAACCCCAAAACCUCAUGCCGCCCAAAUAACCUCAAAACUACACCCUACACCCUUACACUCCCUUAAACACUAGUCCAGUAUUGAUUUUCCCAAAAUCCCCACCCUUUUUCAUUAAUUCCAUUUUCAAGUGGAAACCCUAGACAUGUUUGUGUCUUUGAUUCAUCAUGAAAACCUGGUCCAUUUGAACCCAAGACCCACAUCAAUCGAUUGCUCUUGAUAAGAGAAAUCGAUAGAUGUUAGUCUCAGUUCAUCUUACCACUGUUUAGGACAAAAUCUUUGUUAUUUCUGCAUUUAGGUUAGGGGUGGGCAUAAUACCGAGCGAACUGAAAAAAUCGAUCGAACCGUGAAUUUUAAUUUUUCGGUUUCGGUUUAAUCAGUUUUUCGACCGGUUCACGAUUUUAAAAUUAUUAAUUUUUGAUUUUUCGGUGCGGUUUACGGUUUUUAUGUUUCGGUUUUCAGUUAAACCGAAAAACUGAACUUUUGCAAUGACUAUGCGAC